ACUGCUCAGUAACACGUGGACAACCUGCCCUUAGGACGGGGAUAAACCCGGGAAACUGGGUAUAAUACCCGAUAGGUCUCGAUUGCUGGAAUGCAUCGAGAUUUAAAGCUCCGGCGCCUAAGGAUGGGUCUGCGGUCUAUCAGGUAGUAGUGGGUGUAGCGUACCUACUAGCCUACGACGGGUACGGGUUGUGAGAGCAAGAGCCCGGAGAUGGAUUCUGAGACACGAAUCCAGGCCCUACGGGGUGCAGCAGGCGCGAAAACUUUACAAUGCUGGCAACAGCGAUAAGGGAACCUCGAGUGCCAGGUUACAAAUCUGGCUGUCGAGAUGCCUAAAAAGCAUUUCAUAGCAAGGGCCGGGCAAGACCGGUGCCAGCCGCCGCGGUAACACCGGCGGCUCGAGUGGUAACCGUUAUUAUUGGGUCUAAAGGGUCUGUAGCCGGCCGGAUAAGUCUCUUGAGAAAUCUGGCAGCUUAACUGUCAGGCUUUCAGGAGAUACUGUCUGGCUCGAGGCCGGGAGAGGUGAGAGGUACUUCAGGGGUAGGGGUGAAAUCUUGUAAUCCUUGAAGGACCACCAGUGGCGAAGGCGUCUCACCAGAACGGACCUGACGGCAAGGGACGAAAGCUAGGGGCACGAACCGGAUUAGAUACCCGGGUAGUCCUAGCCGUAAACGAUACUCGCUAGGUGUCGGCCACGGUGCGACCGUUGUCGGUGCCGUAGGGAAGCCGUGAAGCGAGCCACCUGGGAAGUACGGCCGCAAGGCUGAAACUUAAAGGAAUUGGCGGGGGAGCGCCACAACGGGUGGAGCUUGCGGUUUAAUUGGAUUCAACGCCGGAAAUCUUACCGGGACCGACAGCAAUAUGAAGGCCAGGCUGAAGACUUUGCCGGAUUAGCUGAGAGGUGGUGCAUGGCCGUCGUCAGUUCGUACUGUGAAGCAUCCUGUUAAGUCAGGCAACGAGCGAGACCCCCGCC
This 972-nucleotide ribosomal RNA is filed under the name uncultured archaeon. RNAcentral's name for it is "bacterial SSU rRNA". It matches the Rfam family "Archaeal small subunit ribosomal RNA", at positions 85 to 1058 of the family's 1478-position model. The record is from RNAcentral.